Long non-coding RNA from Haliotis rubra (blacklip abalone), 556 nucleotides. RefSeq lists it as uncharacterized. The record is from RefSeq and is a predicted model, not a curated record. The transcript is spliced from 5 exons. Lineage: Eukaryota; Metazoa; Mollusca; Gastropoda; Lepetellida; Haliotidae.
CGAUCUCAGCUGGCACUAAACAUCGGCUGCAGACGGCAGACAACCUGAGACAUAUCAUGUGCAGCUGGAAACGCCACGUGAUAUCGUUUUCACAAUACUAACCAACAUAUAGAGCACUGUCUUGAUAUAGACAUGACUCACCUACACCAUCAUUCCAGCGUGCAAUGUACACAAUACUCCAUUAACUCUUGAACAGAUAAUCAACAAGAACCUACCACCAGCCGAAAAUAUAAGCCAGCAAUCCCAAGAGAAAUGCUGCGGCUUGGAGAGCGCCAUGAGAAAGAAUGAUCCCAGUGGUGCCAUCUCUGCAAUAGUGGAUGGACUCUAUUGUAUGAAACAUUUGGAGGACAUCGAAGCGGGAGGCAUCUUUAAAUUCCGAUUUGCGCCAAACUGUGUGCCCAACACGAGAAGGUAUGGUGAUAGUAAAGCGAGUUGGUAUUCGUAUAUACUCUAGCAUUGUUUCAGCUGAAUAUAACGGUUAUUUUUUACAUAAUUAGGUCUGUGCGCAGCAUACGGCCUACAAUGACAUCCAAUCAUGCAACAUGGUCACACGUGU